RNAcentral lists this small RNA (17 nucleotides) under Arabidopsis thaliana (thale cress). Its description in RNAcentral is "ATSL112310". Lineage: Eukaryota; Viridiplantae; Streptophyta; Magnoliopsida; Brassicales; Brassicaceae. The record is from RNAcentral.
UUUUUUUUGUAUUUUGU